UCCUCCUUCUCUUCCAUUCACUUUUGGGCCACUUCCUCUGUCCUGUUAACCCUAACAAUGGCCUUGUGGGAGGAGCAUAUUGGUCUUGUCAGUGGGCAGUGCGUCUCUGGACUGUACCGCCAUUCGUUUCUGUAGUGGGCAGAGACUCAGAACUGGUCAAAGUGCUGAGAAUGAGUGACUAUUGAGUACUCAGUUCUAAAUGGGACAUCCCCUGCGCAGAGAAGAUGAAGAAGCAGUAAGGGGAGGAGCUGGAAGGAAGGUGGAGUGAUGUCAUGGCACUCCGGAUGCACAGUCGCUAGUGUUGAGAAGAAAACCCAAGGCCUUAUGUGUGACAGACAUGUUCUACCACUGAGUUACACCACUGCCCUGGAGGCCACGUUCGACCACGGCUUUCUGACUCAAGCCAACUUCCUCAGGACUCCAGCACAUACUGAAGAGCAGCUGUGACAUCAGCCUCGUGGACUGAACAACUGCUGGAUUCUUGGACCUUCUGCUGGGUUAGCUGGACCACAGCCUGUAAGUCAUUCUAAUAAAUCCCCCUUCUGUA
This is a long non-coding RNA of Mesocricetus auratus (golden hamster), 547 nucleotides long. RefSeq lists it as uncharacterized. The transcript is spliced from 3 exons. NCBI's taxonomy places the organism in Eukaryota, Metazoa, Chordata, Mammalia, Rodentia, Cricetidae. The record is from RefSeq and is a predicted model, not a curated record.